CCAUCUCUCUUCCCUGAAAACGUCCAAAACCCUACACACUCAAACCAUCUUAUCUGGUUCAAACGUCAGAAAGCUUCCACCUUUCCAGUUUCCUCAAACAGUUUCUCAUUCAAAAUUCAAAUUCAUUAUUUCCCCAAACCAGAUCUGCAAAACAAUUUCCAUAACCCAGAGAGAGACGAGACCACCGUUUAUUUGUUGUAUUCACACAUUCAUUCUUCACAUUUUUAUCUUCUCUUUGAAACCCUGAUGGAAACGCCCUUGAUUCAGAUGAUCGAUCUUCAUCUAUAAGUGUUUUGCUGUGUAAUCUAGUUUGAGAUCAAGAGCUUGGUGUUGAGAGUGUAGUGAAGUAACAGGAAGGAAUCAUGUUUGGUUCUAGCAAUCGCAACUGCUAGGAGAUGAACUUUCUAUGAAUGCCAAUGAUGUGCGGAAGCUGGAAACCAAACUGGAAAAGAGUCUAAAGGUGUAAAAUAUUUACCAGUUAGCUGUGAAUAACUGAUUUUUUUCAUCCCUUCAUUAGCAGGAUCUAACAUUGGUUCGGGACCUGUGUGGACCGAUUAUAUCAGCUUUUUAAAAUCUUUACUGGAGGAUAGAGAUCAUGUUUAGGAGGGAGAGAAAGAAGCAGGGAAAACAAUUGUUGAGGCGUCCUUCGCCCUUCUUGCAUUUUGGCCUACAUAAUGCUUUGUAAACUUUUUUUUCUUCGUUAACAAUACCAGUUGACCUUUUGUCUCAUGGGAACAUAUGUUCUUUGUCUUUUGACAAUAAAGGCAUACGUAAUGUCACUGUGGAAUGUCUUCCAAAGCGCAACUUGUCUGUCUUUGUUCCCGUCUUGGAGAGAUUUGUGGUAUGUCAUCGUUACCCUUUUAAUUAACCCUUAUGUCAAAUCUAAGCUCAAAAGCUCUUUUUUUAUUGACAAAAAUACCCUUUUGCUAUGAAUUUCACAUGUCAUUGAACAUGAUCUCUGAGGUGACUUAUCCCAUGGUGCUUGAGGUAAUUGAACCAUGUAUGAUGCAAUGAAUCACGUAUGAAGGAAUGUUGAAAUAAGAUGUCAACCAAAUGUUUGAAGUAAAAUGAUUUAUGACAAUCCCUCUUUAUUUUUGGUGAAAUUUGACUUUCUGAAUCACUUCCUUACUCUGUUAACAUUUAUACUUUUUACACACUUCCUUCUGAAUCAUACACUUUUUUUUAAU
Molecule: long non-coding RNA, 1187 nt
Filed under: Helianthus annuus (common sunflower)
Lineage: Eukaryota; Viridiplantae; Streptophyta; Magnoliopsida; Asterales; Asteraceae
Source: RNAcentral